CCGCAUCUGUGCAUGCAGCAUAUCAAUAAGCGGAGGAAAAGAAACUAACAAGGAUUCCCUUAGUAACGGCGAGUGAAGCGGGAAGAGCUCAAAUUUGAAAUCUUCAAGGUUUUACCUUGACGAAUUGUAGUUUAAAGAAGUGUUUUCUAGUUGAAGUUUUGGUAAAAGUUCUUUGGAAUAGGACAUCAUAGAGGGUGAGAAUCCCGUAUUUGACCAUUAUUUUCAGCUGUGUGAUACACUUUCAAAGAGUCGGAUUGUUUGGGAAUGCAGUCCAAAAUGGGUGGUAAAUUUCAUCUAAAGCUAAAUAUUGGCGAGAGACCGAUAGCGAACAAGUACCGUGAGGGAAAGAUGAAAAGAACUUUGAAAAGAGAGUUAAACAGUACGUGAAAUUGUCAAAAGGGAAGCGUUUGACACCAGUGUUGUUUUCUCGAAAAUCAAUUAAAAAGAGUUAGAUUUUGUUGUGUAUUGACCUUAACAGCUUGCAUUUCAAUUUUCUUGCUUUUUUUAAUGCACUUUUCGUUUAACAAGUCAACAUCAGUUUCUUUUGUUGUAAAAAGGUCAUUGGAAGGUGGCUUUCUUUUCGGAGAAAGUGUUUAUAGCCUUUGACUCCUGCAAUCGGAGAGACUGAGGUCUGCAGCGUAGAUCCUUCGGGGUUAGAUACAUUUGUGCUAAGUUAUAGCUUUUUAUAGACAACUUGUUGACUAUGAUUAGUCUUGUAGCUUACUCGCUUAUGCUACUUUUACCUACGCUUAGGAUGUUGAACUCUAUCACACACAG
This 777-nucleotide ribosomal RNA is filed under the name uncultured Neocallimastigales. Its description in RNAcentral is "partial large subunit ribosomal RNA". It matches the Rfam family "Eukaryotic large subunit ribosomal RNA", at positions 25 to 621 of the family's 3401-position model. Lineage: Eukaryota; Fungi; Neocallimastigomycota; Neocallimastigomycetes; Neocallimastigales. The record is from RNAcentral.